Molecule: transfer RNA, 119 nt
Filed under: Bacteroidales bacterium
Lineage: Bacteria; Pseudomonadati; Bacteroidota; Bacteroidia; Bacteroidales
Description: tRNA-OTHER
Source: RNAcentral
UGUCCCGUUGUUGCCCCGAUUAUUGGAAAAACUUGUAACGUGCUGUAUAUCGAAUUACAAUUAGGUUAGAACACCUGUCUCCUUAACAUUGGACCGAGGUUCGAAUCCUCGUGGGACAA